Molecule: ribosomal RNA, 496 nt
Filed under: uncultured bacterium
Lineage: Bacteria
Description: partial 16S ribosomal RNA
Rfam family: Bacterial small subunit ribosomal RNA
Source: RNAcentral
AUGCACGCUGGCGGCGUGCCUCAUACAUGCAAGUCGAGCGCACAGACGAGGAGCUUGCUCCUCUGACGUUAGCGGCGGACGGGUGAGUAACACGUGGAUAACCUACCUAUAAGACUGGGAUAACUUCGGGAAACCGGAGCUAAUACCGGAUAAUAUAUUGAACCGCAUGGUUCAAUAGUGAAAGACGGUUUUGCUGUCACUUAUAGAUGGAUCCGCGCCGCAUUAGCUAGUUGGUAAGGUAACGGCUUACCAAGGCAACGAUGCGUAGCCGACCUGAGAGGGUGAUCGGCCACACUGGAACUGAGACACGGUCCAGACUCCUACGGGAGGCAGCAGUAGGGAAUCUUCCGCAAUGGGCGAAAGCUUGACGGAGCAACGCCGCGUGAGUGAUGAAGGUCUUCGGAUCGUAAAACUCUGUUAUUAGGGAAGAACAAAUGUGUAAGUAACUAUGCACGUCUUGACGGUACCUAAUCAGAAAGCCACGGCUAACUACGUG